UUGAUGAUGGUGGUUCAUGACACUUAGGUUUCAAGGAUGAAAGGUUGGAUCAUGGGAAAUCAUUUCCUGGAGAUGGUAAUGGUAAUUUUUCUAUUGGCAGGCAGAAUUGGAACAUGAAAUUUAAGGAAGCUACCUCUGCUGCUCAAGUAGCGGCUGAGUUUGCAGAACAUGCAAGUCUAGCUGCCACAGAUGUUGUAGAACUUUCAAGGCAAUAUUGUGUUGAUGAUGGUGGUUCAUGCCACGUAUGUUUCAAGGAUGAAAGGUUGGAACAUAGGCAAACAUUUCCUGGAGAUGGUAAUGGUAAUUUUUCUAUUGGUAGGCAGAAUUGGAACAUGAAAUUUAAGGAGGCUACCUCUGCUGCUCAAGCAGCAGCGGAGUUUGCAGAACAUCCAAGCCUAGCUGCCAGUGAUGUUGUAGAACUUUCAAGGUAAUAUUGUAUUGAUGAUAGUGGUUCAUGCCACUUAGGUUUCAAGGAUGAAAGGUUGGAACAUAAGCAAGCAUU
RNAcentral lists this long non-coding RNA (502 nucleotides) under Nicotiana tabacum (common tobacco). Its description in RNAcentral is "long non-coding RNA (NTAB_LNC002528)". The record is from RNAcentral. Lineage: Eukaryota; Viridiplantae; Streptophyta; Magnoliopsida; Solanales; Solanaceae.